UCUUCAAAUUUAGAAUCCGGCUAUAUAUGGUGCUUUUAAAAACACCAAGUAUUUGGUGCUUUUAAGUUUUCCGCCGUUAAAUUUAUCUUUUUAACCAUUUUCAUUCUUUAGAUCAUAUUAAUUCAACCAACCAUUCACUCAAUUCUGGGAGACCACUAUCAUUCUAAUCAUACAUUUCUUAAUUUAAGGCACGGAAAACCUACAAUCAUCAAUGAUUUGAUACUUUUAAAAGUAUAGAAACUCAAUUCUCAAAUUUAUAUUAUUAUAUAGGCUAAGGCUAUUAUAUUCUUAUGAGUAUAGAUCACUUUAUACUCAUAAGAUUCCGGCCGUUGGAUAAAGAAUUGUGCAGUUAGGUUGAUAGUGGUCCUUAGUUAGAAUGAUAAUGAUCCCCUUAGAGUUGAGUGGGUAGUUGUUUGAAUAGUAUAAUCUAAUAAGUGAAAAUGGUCAAAAAGAUAGAUCUAAUGCUCGAAAACUUAUGAGAAUAAAGGAGUCUAUACUCAUAAGAAUAUAGCAACUGAAUUACCGAUUGUCCCUAGCGCAAAUGGCAAAAGGUUUAAUGGUUGGUAGGGCUGGCAAAUGAGCGAGCCGGCUCGCGUUCGACUCGUGUUCGACUCGAUAUUUGGCUCACUCGAGCUCGACUCGAAAUUAAAUGAGCCGAGCUUGAACAAAAAAAAAAAGGCUCGAAAUUCAUUUCAAGCUGAGCUUGAGCAUUACUCGGCUCGUUCGAAUUAGGCUCGAAAAGCUCGAAAAGCUCGACUAUAUAUAUAUAUAUAUAUAUAUAUAGAGAGAGAGAGAGAGAGAGAGAGAGAAUUAGACUGCAAUACUAUUAAUAGUAAAAUUCUCUUUUUGCUAUCAAGUUUUUAACCCUUGGAUGAAAAAUUGUAGGGUUAGGAUGAUAUUAGUCAGUUGGAGUUGAGUGGUCCCCCUAGGGUUGAGUGGUCCCCACUGGGUUAUAGUAUUUAAUCCAAUGGUUAGAAAUGAUGAAAAGAGUUGAUUCAAAGACUAAAAAACUGGUAGCAACAAUAGGAUUUUGCUACUAAUAGUAGCCCAAUCCAACUCUCUCUCUCUCUCUCUCUCUCUCUCUCUCUCUCUCUCUCUAUAUAUAUAUAUAUAUAUAUAUAUAUAUAUAUAUAUAGAGCAAGGCUGUUGUGCUCUCAGGAGCACGGAGGCCUCCGUGCUCCUGAGCCGUUUUCGAUGAUGGAAUUUUCAAAUCGACGAUCGGCUCCGUUAGACUUGAUCUAGCGUAUUUGAAGUUUCUAGAAAAUAAUUUUUGCGAUUUUUUGAUAUCAUUUACCAAGUGAUCGAAACGAUUCAAAAUCCAUAAUUUUUAAUGGUUGAUAUCUGCCGUUUUCAAGUUUAACGGUGUAAAAGUAUUCAAAUCAAAUGAAAUUUUGAUACAAAAUUCUUUAUACUAUCUACAACAAGAUCAAUAUUUCUGAUCGAAAAUUUUAGUGCUAUAUCACCAUUUUUUAUAGGAUUUUUAUUUUCAGCCGUUAAAAAUUAUUGAUUUUGAAUCAUUUCAAUUGCUAGGUAAAUGAUAUCGAAAAAUCGCAAAAAAUUAUUUUCUAGAAACUUUAAAUACGUUAGAUAAAGUUUAACGGAGCCGAUCGUCGAUUCGGAAACUCCAUCAUCGAAAACGGCUCAGGAGCAUAGAGGCCUCCGUGCUCCUGAGAGCACAGCAGCCCUGCUCUCUCUCUCUCUCUAUAUAUAUAUAUAGUAGAACUACUAUGCUAUCGGAAGUAUAGAAGAUCUGGUGCUUUCGAUUUUUUGAUUCUUAGAUCAACCUCUUUAAUUAUUUCUUAUCUUUGGAUUAAUACUAUUAUUGCCUUGUAGGGACCACUCAAUCCUAGGGGUAUUAUUUAAUCCUAGGAGGGACCGC
Molecule: long non-coding RNA, 1879 nt
Filed under: Ananas comosus (pineapple)
Lineage: Eukaryota; Viridiplantae; Streptophyta; Magnoliopsida; Poales; Bromeliaceae
Description: long non-coding RNA (ACOM_LNC012287)
Source: RNAcentral